UACGUAGGGUGCAAGCGUUGUCCGGAAUUAUUGGGCGUAAAGAGCUCGUAGGCGGUUUGUCGCGUCUGCUGUGAAAACUCGGGGCUCAACUCCGAGCUUGCAGUGGGUACGGGCAGACUAGAGUGCGGUAGGGGAGACUGGAAUUCCUGGUGUAGCGGUGGAAUGCGCAGAUAUCAGGAGGAACACCGGUGGCGAAGGCGGGUCUCUGGGCCGUAACUGACGCUGAUGCACGAAAGCUAGGGGAGCAAACAGG
Molecule: ribosomal RNA, 253 nt
Filed under: uncultured bacterium
Lineage: Bacteria
Description: partial 16S ribosomal RNA
Rfam family: Bacterial small subunit ribosomal RNA
Source: RNAcentral